AGUAAUACUAGAAAUGGCAGAAAGUGAGGAGGUAACAUCUGCAUCUUCGUGGAAUACAAGACCUUCUUCGACUUCAUCAUAUUUUUCCAAUUAUGCUGUUACUUCAUCACAACAAGAGCCUGAAACAGAGCCAUUCAACAUUCAGGUACUAGGCGACCAAUCGUACAUACAGGAAUUCUGAAUAUAUACAUGAGCGAAUGAUAGGAGUCACCAAAAAAACAAGAAAUUUAAAUAAUUUUAUUCGUCUUACGUUUUUGAAAUAUAUUGUUCUCAUUAAA
Leptinotarsa decemlineata (Colorado potato beetle) is the source of this 278-nucleotide long non-coding RNA. The record is from RefSeq and is a predicted model, not a curated record. Lineage: Eukaryota; Metazoa; Arthropoda; Insecta; Coleoptera; Chrysomelidae.